RNAcentral lists this ribosomal RNA (228 nucleotides) under uncultured bacterium. RNAcentral describes it as "partial 16S ribosomal RNA". It matches the Rfam family "Bacterial small subunit ribosomal RNA", at positions 109 to 334 of the family's 1533-position model. The record is from RNAcentral.
AGUAACGCGUGAGGAACCUGCCUUUCUAGAGGGGGACAACAGUUGGAAACGACUGCUAAUACCGCAUAAGCCCACGGCUCGGCAUCGAGCAGAGGGAAAAGGAGCAAUCCGCUUUGAGAUGGCCUCGCGUCCGAUUAGCUAGUUGGUGAGGUAAUGGCCCACCAAGGCGACGAUCGGUAGCCGGACUGAGAGGUUGAACGGCCACAUUGGGACUGAGACACGGCCCAG